RNAcentral lists this unclassified non-coding RNA (964 nucleotides) under Hevea brasiliensis (rubber tree). Lineage: Eukaryota; Viridiplantae; Streptophyta; Magnoliopsida; Malpighiales; Euphorbiaceae. The record is from RNAcentral.
AAAAAAAUAAAAAGAGCAUAAUCACAGCAAAUAAAAUGAAGUUGAUUGCGGAAAAUCCGUGCUCGGCCACACGGAAGGAAGCAUCUAUUAAGGAACAGGAAGUUUAGAAUACAAGGCCUUAGGAAAUCGAUCCACAGAAUCGAGUGAAUCGAUGAAGAGAUUGGCAAUUCCCGGCAACGGAGAGAAGCGGAGGGCGGUUUUAAAGGGGAAUGUUGCCGUUGCUGGCAGUUCAUGCGGUGGCCGAGUACUAUAGGCUGCCUUGGAAGCCACCUCUCAGUGUAGGGCUUCUUGCUGCCAACGCUCUCAUCUAUUUAAGGCCUGCUUUCCUCCAUCGUAUCCUCCCUUCUAUUCAUGCGGUCUGGUUCAAUCCCUACCUCAUUUUCAAGGGUCUCAUCUGGGCCACCUUGGGGGAAUACUUGUUGGAAUUCUCUAUUUGAAGUUGAAAGGAUUAUAUUCAGGUCUAGACCCAUUGACUUGAAUAACAAAAAAAUGUUAUAGGCAUAUUAAGCUGACCUUUAAAGUUUAUGAGAGGCUUAUUCAGACUAAGGCAGCGGUGGAUUUCUAGUAGGGGAACUAUGGGUGACAAUCAGGCAAGAAGGACGGUAUCAAGGGUAUGGAGGAGUCAAGUAUGUACAUUUGAUAAUUCUGUUUGGUUAACUGUAUAUGAAACGUAUGGGACAAGUCAAGGCCGCUGUGGAUUUUCAUCCCAGCAGUGUCAUCAACAUGAGUAUGAUGAUCUAACAUUGCUAGAAAUACAUUUACAAAAGAUUUGGUUGAUGAUUUUCUAAUUUCCUUAAUAAUUCUGAAUUUGGUGCAUCUUAUAGCUGAAGCAUGCCGCUCAUUUUCUCAUGUUAAUUUCAUAGUUGGGUCAAUAACCAUAUGGCAUGCCACAUUUAGGCAUGGCUUACUUUGAACUCUAGUAUGCUAUAUUUAGGAAUGUCAUAUUUCACAAUUUUUUUUUUAU